GGAUUAGAUACCCUGGUAGUCCACGCCGUAAACGAUGUCUACUAGCCGUUGGGGUCCUUGAGGCCUUAGUGGCGCAGCUAACGCACUAAGUAGACCGCCUGGGGAGUACGGUCGCAAGAUUAAAACUCAAAGGAAUUGACGGGGACCCGCACAAGCGGUGGAGCAUGUGGUUUAAUUCGAUGCAACGCGAAGAACCUUACCAGCCCUUGACAUCCCGAUCGCGGUUUCCAGAGAUGGAUUCCUUCAGCUCGGCUGGAUCGGUGACAGGUGCUGCAUGGCUGUCGUCAGCUCGUGUCG
Molecule: ribosomal RNA, 297 nt
Filed under: uncultured bacterium
Lineage: Bacteria
Description: partial 16S ribosomal RNA
Rfam family: Bacterial small subunit ribosomal RNA
Source: RNAcentral